Non-coding RNA from Daldinia vernicosa, 91 nucleotides. The record is from the annotation of a RefSeq genome assembly. NCBI's taxonomy places the organism in Eukaryota, Fungi, Ascomycota, Sordariomycetes, Xylariales, Hypoxylaceae.
UCUCGAUUCGUCUAGUGGUUAGGAUACCUGCUUGUCAUUCUCUUAGUCUGUAUGUACGCAGGUGGCCGGGGUUCAAUUCCCCGAUCGAGAG